RNAcentral lists this ribosomal RNA (433 nucleotides) under uncultured bacterium. Its description in RNAcentral is "partial 16S ribosomal RNA". It matches the Rfam family "Bacterial small subunit ribosomal RNA", at positions 30 to 507 of the family's 1533-position model. The record is from RNAcentral.
AGCGAACGCUGGCGGCAUGCUUAACACAUGCAAGUCGCACGGGCAGCCAUUUCAGUGGCGGUCUGGUGAGUAGCGCGUAGGAACGUGUCCUGAGGUGGAGGACAACCUCGUGUUACGGGGGCUAUUACUGCAUAUGGGCUGAGGCCCAAAGCCGAGGGGCGACUUUGGGGCGGCCUGCGUCCGAUUAGGUAGUUGGGGGGGUAAAGGCCUAUCAAGCCUGCGAUCGUUAGCUGGUCUGAGAGGACGACCCGCCACACUGGGACUGAGACACGGCCCAGAAUACUACGGGAGGGAGCAGAGGGGAAUAUAGGAAAAUGGGCGAGAGCCUGAUCCAGCACUGCCGGGUGAGUGAAGAAGGUCUUCGGAACGUAAAGCCCUUUCGACGGGGACGAUGAUGACGGUACCCGUAGAAGAAGCCCCGGCUAACUUCGUG